UGCAAGUCGAGCGGAUGAAGAGAGCUUGCUCUCUGAUUCAGCGGCGGACGGGUGAGUAAUGCCUAGGAAUCUGCCUGGUAGUGGGGGACAACGUUUCGAAAGGAACGCUAAUACCGCAUACGUCCUACGGGAGAAAGCAGGGGACCUUCGGGCCUUGCGCUAUCAGAUGAGCCUAGGUCGGAUUAGCUAGUUGGUGAGGUAAUGGCUCACCAAGGCGACGAUCCGUAACUGGUCUGAGAGGAUGAUCAGUCACACUGGAACUGAGACACGGUCCAGACUCCUACGGGAGGCAGCAGUGGGGAAUAUUGGACAAUGGGCGAAAGCCUGAUCCAGCCAUGCCGCGUGUGUGAAGAAGGUCUUCGGAUUGUAAAGCACUUUAAGUUGGGAGGAAGGGUUGUAGAUUAAUACUCUGCAAUUUUGACGUUACCGACAGAAUAAGCACCGGCUAACUCUGUGCCAGCAGCCGCGGUAAUACAGAGGGUGCAAGCGUUAAUCGGAAUUACUGGGCGUAAAGCGCGCGUAGGUGGUUUGUUAAGUUGGAUGUGAAAGCCCCGGGCUCAACCUGGGAACUGCAUUCAAAACUGACAAGCUAGAGUAUGGUAGAGGGUGGUGGAAUUUCCUGUGUAGCGGUGAAAUGCGUAGAUAUAGGAAGGAACACCAGUGGCGAAGGCGACCACCUGGACUGAUACUGACACUGAGGUGCGAAAGCGUGGGGAGCAAACAGGAUUAGAUACCCUGGUAGUCCACGCCGUAAACGAUGUCAACUAGCCGUUGGGAGCCUUGAGCUCUUAGUGGCGCAGCUAACGCAUUAAGUUGACCGCCUGGGGAGUACGGCCGCAAGGUUAAAACUCAAAUGAAUUGACGGGGGCCC
RNAcentral lists this ribosomal RNA (871 nucleotides) under mercury-resistant bacterium mCFU 652. Its description in RNAcentral is "bacterial SSU rRNA". It matches the Rfam family "Bacterial small subunit ribosomal RNA", at positions 56 to 922 of the family's 1533-position model. The record is from RNAcentral.